Molecule: ribosomal RNA, 1756 nt
Filed under: human gut metagenome
Description: bacterial LSU rRNA
Rfam family: Bacterial large subunit ribosomal RNA
Source: RNAcentral
CUGGAGGACCGAACCGACUAAUGUUGAAAAAUUAGCGGAUGACUUGUGGCUGGGGGUGAAAGGCCAAUCAAACCGGGAGAUAGCUGGUUCUCCCCGAAAUCUAUUUAGGUAGAGCCUUGAGCGGACACCUUCGGGGGUAGAGCACUGUUUCGGCUAGGGGUCCAUCCCGGAUUACCAACCCGAUGCAAACUACGAAUACCGAAGAGUGAUACUCAGGAGACACACGGCGGGUGCUAACGUCCGUCGUGGAGAGGGAAACAACCCAGACCGCCAGCUAAGGUCCCAAAGUCUAUAUUAAGUGGGAAACGAAGUGGGAAGGCUUAGACAGCUAGGAUGUUGGCUUAGAAGCAGCCAUCAUUUAAAGAAAGCGUAAUAGCUCACUAGUCGAGUCGGCCUGCGCGGAAGAUGUAACGGGGCUCAAAUAUAGCACCGAAGCUGCGGCAUCAGUAGCAAUACUGUUGGGUAGGGGAGCGUUCUGUAAGCGGAUGAAGGUGAAUCGAGAGGUUUGCUGGACGUAUCAGAAGUGCGAAUGCUGACAUAAGUAACGAUAAAACGGGUGAAAAACCCGUUCGCCGGAAGACCAAGGGUUCCUGUCCAACGUUAAUCGGGGCAGGGUGAGUCGGCCCCUAAGGCGAGGCUGAAAAGCGUAGUCGAUGGGAAACGGGUUAAUAUUCCCGUACUUGGAUAAACUGCGAUGUGGGGACGGAGCAGGUUAGGUUAUCGCACUGUUGGAUAUGUGCGUUUAAGUUGGUAGGUGUGAAGUUUAGGCAAAUCCGGACUUCUUUAACACCGAGAGAUGAUGACGAGGCUCUACGGAGCUGAAGUAACCGAUACCACACUUCCAGGAAAAGCCACUAAGCUUCAGGUUUAUCUAAACCGUACUGAAAACCGACACAGGUGGUCAGGUAGAGAAUACUCAGGCGCUUGAGAGAACUCGGGUGAAGGAACUAGGCAAAAUAGCACCGUAACUUCGGGAGAAGGUGCGCCGGCGUAGAUUGUAGUCCCUUGCGGGCGAAGGUUGAACCGGUCGAAGAUACCAGCUGGCUGCAACUGUUUAUUAAAAACACAGCACUCUGCAAACACGAAAGUGGACGUAUAGGGUGUGAUGCCUGCCCGGUGCUGGAAGGUUAAUUGAUGGUGUAAUCGAAAGAGAAGCUCCUGAUCGAAGCCCCAGUAAACGGCGGCCGUAACUAUAACGGUCCUAAGGUAGCGAAAUUCCUUGUCGGGUAAGUUCCGACCUGCACGAAUGGCAUAAUGAUGGCCAGGCUGUCUCCACCCGAGACUCAGUGAAAUUGAAAUCGCCGUGAAGAUGCGGUGUACCCGCGGCUAGACGGAAAGACCCCGUGAACCUUUACUAUAGCUUGACACUGAACAUUGAAUUUUGAUGUGUAGGAUAGGUGGGAGACUUAGAAGUAGUCACGCCAGUGAUUAUGGAGUCGACCUUGAAAUACCACCCUUUAACGUUUGAUGUUCUAACGAAGAUUACGAAACGUGGUCUCGGACAGUGUCUGGUGGGUAGUUUGACUGGGGCGGUCUCCUCCCAAAGAGUAACGGAGGAGCACGAAGGUUUGCUAAUGACGGUCGGACAUCGUCAGGUUAGUGCAAUGGUAUAAGCAAGCUUAACUGCGAGACAGACAAGUCGAGCAGGUACGAAAGUAGGUCAUAGUGAUCCGGUGGUUCUGAAUGGAAGGGCCAUCGCUCAACGGAUAAAAGGUACUCCGGGGAUAACAGGCUGAUACCGCCCAAGAGUUCAUAU